This 180-nucleotide ribosomal RNA is filed under the name Triticum aestivum (bread wheat). Its description in RNAcentral is "partial small subunit ribosomal RNA". Lineage: Eukaryota; Viridiplantae; Streptophyta; Magnoliopsida; Poales; Poaceae. The record is from RNAcentral.
AUGCAUGUUGUGAAAUUUGGCUACGGAUGGAACAUAGGGGAUGGGAGCAGAACCAAGUUCUGGGAAGAUACUUGGUUUGGAACAUCCCCCCUAGCAGUCCAAUUUUGGCAUAUUUACUCUGUCCUCAAUGAGCUUAACAAAAGUGUCAAUGAAGUUUGGGACGGUCAAUGCCUAAAACUC